RNA transcript from Neopelma chrysocephalum (saffron-crested tyrant-manakin), 13144 nucleotides. It is a transcript of the gene named Ral GTPase activating protein catalytic alpha subunit 2, with no coding region annotated. The record is from RefSeq and is a predicted model, not a curated record. Lineage: Eukaryota; Metazoa; Chordata; Aves; Passeriformes; Pipridae. The transcript is spliced from 40 exons.
GGGGCGGGGGGGAAGCGGCGCGUGCGGGGAGCGCCCGGGCAGCGCUCCCGGCAUCCAUCCCCCUGUUAUCCGCCGCGUCCCCCCGUCCUUCGGGCCGGCCCCGCCGCGAUGUUCUCCAGGAAGAGCCACGCCGACGUCAGGAAAUCCACGCAGAAGGCGCUGGACCCGAAGCGGGACGUGCUGACCCGGCUGAAGCAUCUCCGCGCGCUGCUGGAUAUUGUGGAUGGAAGUGACCUGAAGCAAUUUUUUGAUAAUAAUUAUUCUCAAAUUUAUUUUAUAUUCUAUGAAAACUUCAUAACACUGGAAAAUAACUUGAAACAAAAAGGGAAUAAAUCACAAAGGGAGGAGCUGGACUCCAUCCUCUUUCUUUUUGAAAAAAUAUUGCAGCUACUGCCUGAGAGGAUUUUUUAUCGAUGGCAUUUUCGCAGUAUAGGGUCGAUUCUGAAGAAACUUUUGCACACUGGAAAUUCUCUCAAGAUAAGAUGUGAAGGAAUCCGGCUGUUCCUGCUCUGGCUCCAAGCCCUGCAGACGAACUGUGGGGAGGAGCAGAUCCUGCUGUUCGCCUGCCUCGUGCCCGGCUUCCCGCCCCUGGCGUCCUCACGGGGCCCCUGCACCCUGGAGAGCCUCAUCAGCCCGCCCUGCCCGCCCGACGCUAAGAUUUUUCCAGAGGAAAUAACCCCGCUUUUGCCAGCUGUCUCUGGAGAGAAAAUUGCUGAAGACCAAACCUGCUAUUUUCUUCAGCUCCUGUUAAAAUACAUGGUAAUUCAGGCUGCAAGCUUGGAGUGGAAAAACAAGGAGAACCAAGACACUGGGUUUAAGUUUCUCUUCACCUUGUUUAGAAAAUACUAUCUUCCUCACUUGUUUCCAUCUUUUACAAAGCUAACCAACCUCUACAAACCUGUGCUUGAUAUUCCUGAUAUCAGGCCAAGGCCAGUGUAUGUCACUGCAACACGAAACAAUGAGAGUGUCUAUAGCACGAAAAUCCCGUAUAUGGCAGCUCGAGUUGUUUUUAUUAAGUGGCUUGUUACCUUCUUCCUUGAAAAGAAAUACUUAACUGCUGUUCAGAACACAAAAAAUGGAGGAGAAGUGCUCCCUAAAAUUAUUCAGACGGUGGGGGCGAGCCAGGACAAGGCAGCAGAGCUGGAGGGCAGCACGUCGCAGGAGCAGGACGGGAACCACUCCAACAGCAGCACCCUGUCUGACAGGAGGCUCAGCAACUCCAGCCUGUGCAGCAUCGACGAGCAGCACCGCGGCGUCUACGACAUGGUGCAGAGGAUCCUGCUUUCCACCCGCGGCUACGUCAACUUCGUCAACGAGGUCUUCCGACAGGCUUUUUUGUUGCCACCUUCUGAUGUAUCCGCAACACGGAAAGUGGUGAAGGUGUAUCAGAAGUGGAUACUGCAAGAGAAGCCCGUGUUCAUGGAGGAGCCAGACAAAAAGGAGGACAGCCAGGAUGCUGUUGUCCACCUGGAAGACUCCUCAGUGCAAACAGACGGUAAACAUCUUUCCUCGGAGCACUCGGGGCACAAGCGCUCCUCCAGCUGGGGCAGGACGUACUCCUUCACCAGCGCUGUGAGCAGGGGAUGUGUGCUGGAAGAUGAGGACAGAGAUGUGAAAGCUGGAGCCCAGGCUGCGUUACAGGUGUUCCUGACAAACUCGGCCAAUGUUUUCCUGUUGGAGCCGUGCACGGAGGUCCCGGUGCUGCUGAAGGAGCAGGUCGAUGCUUGCAAAGCUGUUCUCAGUAUCUUCAGGCGCAUGAUAAUGGAGCUGUCAAUGAAUAAGAAGACAUGGGAACAGAUGCUACAGAUACUCCUCAGAAUAACAGAAGCUGUGAUGCAGAAGCCGAAAGAAAACCAGCCAAAGGACACAUUUGCCCAGAGCAUGGCUGGGUUGCUGUUCCGAACCCUCAUCGUGGCUUGGAUCAGAGCGAACCUGAGCGUUUACAUCUCUCGGGAGCUGUGGGAUGAGCUGCUCAGUGUCCUGUCCUCCCUGACGGACUGGGAGGAGCUCAUCAACGAGUGGGCCAACAUCAUGGACUCUCUGACAGCAGUGCUGGCCAGGACUGUGUAUGGCGUGGAAAUGACCAACCUGCCCUUGGACAAGCUCAGUGAACAGAAGGAAAAAAAGCAGAGGGGAAAAGGUGGCAUUUUAGAGCCUCAGAAGACAGCAGUAGUGGGAAGAUCUUUUUCAUUAAGCUGGAAGAGUCAUCCUGAAGUCGUGGAGCCGAUGAGAUUCAGAAGCGCUACAACCUCUGGGGCCCCUGGAGUUGAGAAAGCCCGAAAUAUUGUUCGUCAGAGAGCGACAGCUAAGCGAAGCCAGUCUAUCAGCAACUGUGUCCAUCUUUAUGAGGCUUUGCCAGCUACUAAAAGUGUACCUCUUCUGCUUCACACUGUGAGCUCUCUCUUCCCUGGUCUCUCUUACACUUCUUGCUCUCACAGACUGUCAGAAGUUGAAGAAUCUCAACAGCUGGAAAAUUCAGAAGGAUCAGAAGCUGUGGGCCCGUUUGCAGACCAAGAGCAGCAGCUGACUCGAAGUAGCAGCACUUCAGAUAUUGCAGAUCAGAUUCCAUCUGAUUUUUUUCAAGGUAAAAAGGCUGGAGGUUCUCAUAAUUCAACUUCAGACUCCAAAUCAGUUCAGGAAAACAAGGGACAUGCAAAGAAGGAGGAUGAAGCUGAGCAAGUGCUGAUCCGAAGGAGCAGUAGUACAGCUGAAUUAGAUCUGAAAGCAGACUUUCAGCCACCCCAGGGGAGUUACAGAGAGAGAGAAAAAAGUGAGAGCGUGAGCAGCGACGCGUCCCUGGGCUGCGGGGCCGACGUGGACAUCGCGCUGCUGCCCUGGCAGGCGGCCGAGGACGAUCCCGACCCCGGAGCCGUGUGUGUGGAUCCCACUGCCCCGCGCUGGCUGCAGCUCAGCCCCUCGGAGCCUGCCAACCUCACAGACAGUAGUGAAUUCCUUGCUGAUGACUGCAGUAUAAUUGCUGGUGGAAGCCUUAUUGGUUGGCAUCCUGAUUCUGCCGCUGUGUUAUGGAGGAGGAUCUUGGGAAUUCUUGGAGAUGUGAACAAGAUACAGUCACCUAAAAUCCAUGCAAAAGUUUUUGGAUACCUUUACGAGCUGUGGUAUAAACUUGCAAAGAUAAGGGACAACCUCGCUAUCAGUGUGGACAAUCAGUCAACUCCCUCUCCUCCCAUCCUAAUCCCUCCUCUCAGGAUAUUUGCAUCGUGGCUGUUCAAGGCAGCCACGCUGCCCAGCGAGUACAAGGAGGGCAAGCUGCAGGCGUUCCGGCUGCUCUGUGCCAUGAUGACCCGGCGCCAGGACGUGCUGCCCAACUCCGACUUCCUCGUCCACUUCUACUUCGUGAUGCGCCUCGGCUUGACCAGUGAGGACCAGGAUAUCCUGAACACCGUCAUAAAGCACUGCCCACCCUGGUUUUUCUUCCUGGGCCUGCCUGGGUUCACGAUGCUGAUCGGGGACUUUGUGGCGGCGGCGGCGCGGGUGCUGCGCGCGGACACACUGGAGGCUCCCCGUUCUGAAGCUCACACCAUCCUUGGUGCUCUCGUGUGCUUUCCAAAUACCUACCAAGAAAUCCCAUGCUUGGGGCCCAUUUCAGAAGCCAGUGAGAUCAGCACAGGAACUGCAGAUGUGAAGUAUUGCCUCAUAAAUAUUUUAUUGAAGAAUGCUACAGAGGAGCCAAGUGAAGCUGCAAGGUGCAUAGCCAUCUGUGGCCUGGGAGUGUGGAUCUGUGAGGAGCUCACACAGUGCACAAACCAUCCCCACGUGAAGAAGGCCAUCAAUGUCAUAGGUGUGACACUGAAGUUUUCCAAUAAGCUGGUAGCUCAGGUAGCCUGUGAUGUUCUUCAGCUGCUCGUGUCUUACUGGCAAAAGCUUCAGGAGUAUGAAUCCUUCCUGUGCCGGAAAAUCACUGAAAUCCUCGUGGCCACCAUUGCAUUCCUUUUGCCGAGUGCCGAGUACUCCUCCGUGGAGGCGGAUAAGAAGUUCAUAGUUUCCCUGCUGCUCUGCCUGCUGGAUUGGUGCAUGGCACUGCCCAUGAAAAUGCUGCUGGAGCCCGCGUCUGCUGGUGCCGUGGAAGAUCAACACACAUCCAGAGCUCCUUUACUGGACUACAUUUACAGAGUCCUGCACUGCUGUGUGAACGGCUCCAGCACGUACACGCAGCAAAGCCACUACGUGCUGAGCCUGGCCGACCUCUCCUCCUAUGAUUACGACCCCUUUUUGCCACUGGGGAACGUCAGGAGCUCGGAGCCAGCCCAGUGCCACUCCUCCACGGAUUUGGGCAACCUGCUCACUGUUGCUGAGGAGAAAAGGAGGAGGAAUUUGGAAUUGAUACCUCUGACGGCGCGGAUGGUGAUGACUCACCUGGUGAAUCACCUGAGCCACUACCCGCUCAGCGGAGGCCCUGCCAUUCUCCACAGCCUCCUCAGUGAGAACCACGACAACUCCUUCGUGGAGUCCUCUGAGCUGUCCUCGGAAGUCUUCCGGAGUCCCAACCUGCAGCUCUUUGUGUUCAAUGACAGCACUCUCAUAUCUUACCUCCAAAUCCCUGCAGAGAAGAGGGCGGGUGCUGAGCCGGCAGCAGCCCCCUCGGACGUCAGGGUGAUCGUCAGGGAUAUCUCAGGGAAGUACUCUUGGGACGGCCGGAUACUGUACGGCCCUUUGGAGGGCUGCCUGCCACAGCGGAGCCCCACCAACACCUUUGUGAUCUCCAGCAACCCCGAGCACCACUUCACUUCCCAGAACGACGCUUCCCAGGCAGAGGAAGGAGAAGAUGCUCUCGACCAGUUGCUGGAGAAGAUCGGUGCCACCAGCCCCGAGUGCCUUCUGCAUCCCCAGCGCAAGCUGAACGAGCCGGCGCCGCCGCCCUGCGGGAUGAGCUGCGAGCAGGAGCGGGCCAUCAUGGAGGCCCUGAUGAGGCAGAGCGCCCAGGAAAGGGAGUUCAUCCUGAAAUGCAGCUCGGACUGCAGCAUGAAGGUGGCCCGCCAGGAACCACCACGCCCUGCUGAGCCUCAGGCCUCCUUUUAUUUCUGUCGGCUGUUGCUGAACGACUUGGGAAUGAACUCCUGGGACAGAAGGAAAAGCUUUCACUUGCUUAAGAAAAAUUCAAAAUUGCUGCGAGAACUGAAAAAUCUGGAUUCUCGCCAAUGCCGUGAGACUCACAAGAUCGCCGUGUUCUACAUCGCCGAGGGGCAGGAGGACAAGUGCUCCAUCCUGGCCAACGCCAGGGGAAGCCAGGCAUAUGAGGAUUUUGUAGCAGGACUGGGCUGGGAGGUGGAUCUUUCCACGCACGGGGGUUUUAUGGGUGGCCUGCAGCGCAACGGCAGCACGGGCCAGACCGCUCCCUACUACGCUACCUCCACCGUGGAGAUCAUCUUCCACGUGUCCACACGCAUGCCCUCGGACUCGGACGAUUUGCUGACCAAAAAGCUUCGUCACUUGGGAAAUGAUGAGGUUCACAUCGUCUGGUCCGAGCACACCCGCAACUACCGCAGGGGCAUCAUACCCACGGACUUCGGGGAUGUUCUCAUUGUCAUCUACCCCAUGAAGAAUCACAUGUUUUUCAUAGAGAUCAUGAAGAAACCAGAGGUGCCGUUUUUCGGGCCUCUCUUCGAUGGAGCGAUCGUGACCGCGAAGCUGCUGCCAAGCCUGAUCUGUGCCACCUGCAUCAACGCCAGCAGAGCCGUCAAGUCCCUCAUCCCGCUCUACCAGAGCUUCUACGAGGAGAGAGCUCUGUACCUCGAAGCCAUCAUCCAGAACCACAAAGAGGUGAUGACGUUCGAGGAUUUUGCCGCUCAGGUCUUUUCUCCCUCUCCCAGCUACUCCCUCGGUGGAACUGGUGAGUCUCUGCACGUUAUUCUUCUCUGUAGCCCCAAGAAGCACUUGAGCAGCAGAUGUACACCUGUUUUUUGUAGAUAAAUGCUUGCAAAUUUAAGAAGACCAUUCUUCCCCUGAAUCAACUAAUGAAUAUCAAAAGGAAUGAUGACAUUCAUUUUAAUUUGUUUUGCAUCAGAGCUAUUCAGUCUGCUCCUUUCUUCAGCUAUCCUGUUAACCCCCGACUCUGGCGAGGUUAAUGAACUUUCUUGCAGUGAUGGGCUCCAGCUCAUUCAGGACUCCGGGUUCUUGCUGAGCUGGGAAUAUGUUGUUCAAAAGCGAGGCCUGAAUUGGGGCUCACUUAUCAAAAAUAGUUCCUCGCAGGGGAAGCUGCUGCUAAUGCUAAAUGGGGAUUAUGCUGCUGAGCUACCAGGGUCAGGGAUUAAUGCCCAAGAAACGCAGGAACGGGGUGCUGUUAGGGAAUCACAGCGGCGGGCGGGAUGCGGGCGCGUCCCUUCAAUGCAGACAAGCACACUGCAGGCUGCCCUCCAGCACCUGGCCUGGAGCCUCUUUGGGGGCUUUAAUGGAUGUGUGGAUAUAUGUGGGGGGGGUGGUGUGUGUAUACACGCACAUCAAUGCUCAUCAUUCAUCAGCCCUCCUGAGAGGUGACAACGCAGUGCCAAACUCUGGGCAUUUAUUCCUCGUGUGCCCUGUGGAGAUUUAGGUUAGUGUGUGGUCAGUGAGGUACCAAUCGCUGCCUGGCUGGUUCCAUUGAGUUUAAGUGAACCUCUUCUGAAAGGGAUCUUUUGCUCUGAAAUGCAGAUUUCUAGUGCCCUCAAGAUGUGUUUUUUCCAGCCUCCAGAAAGUAUCUGUCACCGUGUGCUGGACUCUCUAACAAAGAUUCCUUAAUCCAUUGUUGACACUCAUAGGGUGACACAGGCACUUUCUAAUCAUUCUCUGCUUCUCUUUUGGAUUGCUGAAUAGAUUAUUUCCAACUUGUACAAACGUUGCAGGACAUCUGCUCUAUUUCUCUUUAGCCCGACUUGUUAGCAGAUAUCUUCCAUCUAAACUGAAACAUUGAAGGAAGAAAUUAAAUUUGCUAGAAUAAAUCACUUAGGAAUAAAACCAGCCGUGCAGCAUUGUCUAGCGUUCCUGGCUCCGGUCCUGGCGCGCUCGGAGCUUUGUGAGGAGAUAAGAGGCCUGUGCGGGCCGGGCAGUGGUGGCCAGGAGCAGCAGGCAGAAGGCUUUGGAGAUAAGCGCUGGCAGGAGGGGAGGGAGCCGGGGCCAUUUACAUAAUCGCGCCUCUGCGUCCUGGAGAGGCGUCAGGGAACACGGGAUGGAUCUAUUGAUCUCUGCUGAACUGGAAUACUAAACAACGCGAGGAAAGCUUAUAACUUAAAGCUUUGAUUAAUGUUUCCUACAUUAAAAAGUAGAACAGCUGUGCAUUAAAUUCUUUUAUACACUCUGCCAAAAGUCUGAGACAAAAAAAUCGCCCGUUUCAAUAGGAGCGCAGCGCGUGCCCAGGGUUGGUUGUUAGCACUUGAAUCGUUUAUCUGUUGACAUAUCAGCAAAUAGAAACGUAGAUAUAUUGAUCUGUUUUAAAUGUUUUGCUCUGUGCAUAAUUGUGUCUCAUUUUGGUGUUUUUAGAGCAUGCAGUGCUCUGGUUGUGUACAAAUGUGGUCUGACGGGGCAGAUCCCUCGGCAGUGCCGCUCUCUGAAGGCUGGGAUAUGCUGUGUGUGCCAGACCUGGUUAAAGUGUUUCCCAAUUGCUGAGGUUUUCAGAACACUGUUAAAUUAUGAGUACCCUGGAUGUGGUUUUAUAAUUUCAUUAUUUUAAUUGCUUUUAAUUGUAAAACCUGCCCCGGUCAGGUCCCUGUUUUUGGACUUCAGAGCCUUGGAAUUAAUUUCUCGCUCAUGAACUGGAGGCUGGCCAUGACUUCUGGUGUCAGAAUCUCUGCUUCAGAGAGUCUCCUCACGUUACCUACUGAUUCACCUGCAUAUUUAGUCAGUGAUGAGCAAGGGCAGUGUCAGCCAUGGCCAUCGGGAUGUGUUUUCCAUCAGAUGCUCCCUGGCAGUUGGAAGGGAGGCUGGAUGCAGCCCUGGCAGCUCAGGAGCUGUUUCCCAGCAUGCAGCCUGUGCCACAGGCAGGCAGUCCUGCUCCAGGCAUAGACCCACCCGUUUAACGCCUGCAGGAAUCACCUGUGUGCUGCUUAGGAACACGGUUGGCAUUUUUUUCCAUGUAAAAAGGGAACUUCUAUUCUGAAAUCAGGGAGCAAUAAAUGAAAAAAAAAAUUUCCCUGAGAAGGUAGUCAGGCACUGGCACAGGCUGCUAGGAAGGUGCUGGAGUCACUGCCUCUGAAAGUGUUCAGAACGUGUCUGAAUGUGGCUCUUGGGGAUGUGGUUUAGGGGUGAUGAUGGUGGUGCUGGGUUGGUGGCUGGAUUUGAUGAUCUUGAAGAUCUCUCCCAGCCUUGAUGAUUCUGUGGGAUUCAUGGAGCUGGCACAGGUGACGAGCCAGCUGGUGCUGCUGACUCUGCCGAGCGUAAAUUCCUCAGGUAAAUUUAAGAUUAAUUCUCAUCUGAUCUGAUUCUUAAUGCCACUCAGGUGUGGUCCUGUCAGCGCUGGAAUACACGCGUGCAGCAGAAAGGUCAAGGAGUAAGUGUGCUUUUUAUUAAAAUGAAGCUUGUUCUCAGUAGUCAUAAGAAGAAAUCAGGCCCAUUAAAUGAAUUGAACACGUAGCUCUCGCUGACACACAUCACUGGGGUGUUGCUAACCAUGAUCUAAUGAUUUGAACUGCAUGGUUUUGCAUUUUCUGAUGCUGCCCCGGGGGAUGCAUCCCCCAGGCUCAGGUCGGAUGUGGGUUUCCUGCCCUGGGUUAGUGUCUCUGUCACCAACAGUCUUGCAGGUGCUGCAUUUUCUGCACGAAAAUCAGAAAAUCACCCAGUUGAUCUCCUUUGCUGUUUCCAGGCUCGGAGCCUUAAACUCCCUGCACGGCUCACAGAUAGCCCUGGCUAUCUUCAGCAGCCGGGUAGGCAGAAUGGCCAUCCCUGAACUCAUUUAGGGGAUGUGCAGAUUAGGAACAAAAGCUGGGAAUACGGCCCUUUGUUGUUAAACUGGUGCAUUACAUGCUGUAUUUUAAUUAGGCUGGGUCUGAGAGGCAGCCCAGGAAAUCCUCCAUAAUCCAACACUAUUGAAUUAUUCUCAUCCUUUCCCUCUGCAGAUUUCUCUCCUUUUAGAGGACGGGCUUUAAGCUGCUGUUCUUGCUCCCUCAGCCAAAACCAGAAACAGUUAUUCAACAAAAUACUUGCGUGUUCUUUAAAAAAAUGGUGAGGCUGAAGCGGGCACACACAGACAGAGCAGCGCCCCAACUUUGCCUCUGUGGCUCAAAGGGCUGCCUUGGGCUUGGGGGUUUUUUGGUGUAAGAUCAGCAACUAGAAGCGUGGUGUUAUCCCUUAGGAAGUGGAAGUGGCCAGGUAUUCCAGGGCAACUGUCUGAUCAUAGCUUGCCCACCAUGGGAGGAUUCUGUGCGAGGGGUUUGUACAGGGCAGGUUUCUGUUGGAAGGGAACCCCUGAGCUGCAGCGCUGCCGUUGGCACUCCAGGGGUUAAUGGGAACGGGCACACUUGACUGCUGAGAGGACUGAUCUAAUCACUGCCAUAUCCAAGUGCAUCUGUUCACCAUGAGGUCAUUCUUGUGCAUGCUAAUGACUUGGAAAAUAAAGCACAAUGCUCAACGUUAUCAGGGAGGAUAUAGUGUAAAUCUUGGCUUUUUUAGUUGCUAAUGGAUAUUGUGGAAUGGGCAGGCAAAGCAUCCCGGAUUCUUGUGUUCCAGCUUAAUGUUUUUAAAGCAUCCUUUUCAGUGGAGUGUCAGGAAAACUGUGCUGGAAAACUCAGACAUGUGGUAUCUGUUGAUAAAUGGAUUCUUUAAUGAAUAUUAUGGCAUUGCCCAGGAGCAACACUUGAGUUGAGGAACUAUAGAGGUUUUCAGCAUUCCCUGGUUUUAAAGCCUCGGGAGCCUGCCUGCUGAUUUACAUAAAACCGAGAUUUUGCAGGCUUUUUGUUGUAAAGGUGACACAUGCUUUUCUUUUGUCUCCAGACUUUUACAUGCAUAAAGUUCCUCUGGAAAAUACUUGAAUGUACAAGGAACCAGAUCUGGUUUAUUUUAAACCACUUUUUGAUCAGUGCUGAGCUUUAUCUUUCCCACUUUAAAGUGAAAGGAAUAUUUCAAUUUGACACCUAGAUUUAAAAUGUAUUUUUGACAGAAACAAAACCAAACCCAGAGUAACUAUUGCGUUAACCAGACUGAUGCUCUUUGUAACGAUGAGACAGGAUUCCUUUUGCUUUGGUGUGGUUUUUCUGUUUUUGUUUUUUACUUCUUUAGGUUUUUUGUGCUUUUAUCUUUUUCCUUGAAAAAGGGUGUUUUCCUUGUAGGGUGUUUUGUCAGAUCUGUGUACAGGUGGAACAAAAGUCUCUCCGGGUUCUGUAUAUAUAAUAUUUCUGCCUGUUUUGGGGAAUAGUAAAAAAACACACAUCUGAAAGUGAGUAGCUGUGCCACAAUACCGCAGCACGUGCGGCAUGUGUCGUGUUUGAUCUGUGUGUCAGUGUUGCCUGAAACGGAACAAUUCAUUUCUAGUACCUGGGACUCAGGAAAUUCCUGCCUGUCCUGGCUGCUCGGAACCACGGCUCAGCUGCUGCCGCCAGGAGAGGAGGCAGCGCUGGCACUGUCUGCCAGGGGCAGCUGUGGGCUCCAUCCUCCGUGCCCAGCCCUCCCUGGUCCGGGCCGGGGGUUCCUCUGAUGUGGGAAGAAGGACAGGGAAUUGAGUGGUUAGCACGGAGCCCGUGCUCAGCAGGUGAGAUGGAACUCAGGUAGCUGUCGGUGCUGCCGUGGUGGAGGUUGUCCAGGCAGUGAACAAAGAGGAAAAGCUGAGGGAGGUGGAGUAGAGGAGCCAGAAGAGUUACCACAGGAGGCAGGAUUUGGCUUUCUCUUCUCCUCCUUCCCUGUGAGUAUGCAGGAGGAGGCACAGGGACCUGUCUGGCUUUCCCUCUCUGUUUAAUCCAGGUAGCUCCACAUCCUGAGCAGACUGGAGCCUCUGUCCCAGCUGCUGCUGGGCUGCCCUUGGGAGCAGAUUCGGGAGCUGCUUCUUGCCCCUGUGCUCUCUGUUACCAGUGUUCCCUCCGUGGCUUUCCUGCCCUCAUCCACAGAGCUGCCACCUUAGUGUCCCUGUGAGGGGCAGGCACGGUCUGCCAUUAAACAGAGCAGUGUCACAGUUACCACGAAUUGUUGGGGCAGCAGCUCUGUCCCCCCAUAGCUCCUGUGGCUGAACAGGCCUGGCUCCGGAGGCUCUGGAUCCCUGCAGAGCCCUAGGGAAGUUGCAUCCUUCCUUUGCAGCUCCCUGCAAAGCAGCGGCCGCCUGCUCUGGGUCUGUGCCCUGCACUGACGAGGGCGGGCAGCCCUGACCUGUCCCCGAGGCAGGGCAGGUGCUGGGGCUGCUUCUCCCUCAAGCCUGGCGUUCCCUCGGGAUCUCCAGCAGGGAAGGGGCACAUUAGGGCUCUCAGCCUGGGCCCCUGCCUUUUCUAUGUAAUUGACUGGCUCAGAGGGAGCUCCCCCAGCUACAAUCUCCGGGAGAGGAGGCAGAGAGAGAGGGUUUCUCCAAGCAAUCAGUGCUGGGAUGGGAGAAAAUAUGAGCUUGACAGGCCCAUCUCUCCUGCUGGGUGACAGCUCCAGCUGCUCGAGCUGUCAGCUCGGAGAAGGCUCCGGGCAAUGUGGCCCCUUUGCAUUUUCUCUCUGCACUGAGGCAUCGGCUCCGUGGCCACGGAGAGCCAGAGCAGAGCUGGAGCAGAGUGGCCGCGGGCCAGGGGCUUGGGCUGCCCCACCUGUGACACCCCCAAAACCCCCAACGCUCCCCCUGGCUGAGGUUGAGGCCAACCCGUGCAGAACUAAUUAGCGGCUGCUCCAAGUCCUGACUAAUUAAACUUCGAUGUGUACAUUUAGGGUUUAUUUCCAAAUCCCUCAAACCAUCAAGGCUGGGCCUGUGACGGUGCCAGGCACUCCCUCCUGGAAACUGUGAAUGCUAUUUUAGGGGUGGUUCUGCCCCUGAUUAACCUGUAGUUUGAGAUUCUCUUACUGCUUCAUGUAGAGCUUUCCAAGGCACUGCAGGACGUGUUUGAUUAGCACAGCCACUGCUUCAGUUAUCGAUGAUUUCUUCCACGCAGGCUCAGGAUGCUGCUUACAGUGUACUUUGAGCCUGUCCUUGGAAGUGGGAAGCAGCAACACUGGGCAGAUUUACUACAGUGAUUCUCUCUGGAAUUUUCUGACCUUCACAUUUACUAGGAAGGAAAACAAAGAUUUCCACAGCCCUGUCCUGGCUGACAGGUUAAUGGGGGGGCUGGAACAGGUCACAGCCCCUGUGACAACUUCAUGGGUCUUCUCAAAUACAAGGCUUCAGGAUCCUUACAGGUCAUGGAGACCCACCCUUGCUUUCAGGGGUGUUCAGCUACUUCAGUUGGAGAGAAAUGGCUGAAAGGUCAUUCCUAGAGCACCUGCCCUGGCAAGGCGGGGCAUGAGAAAUGAGGUUUGUUCUCUGGUGGAUUUGAGAUGCAAUAAGCCAUUUCUCUCUAGCUUCCCACAAAACAAUUUCAUUUGAAGUGUGUUUUUAUCUGUAUUCCUAACUCCAUUUCUAAUCCCCUCCUGCAAAGAACUUACUUUAAAAGCUUAAGCCUCCCUCACCAGGUCUUACCUGUAAGAGGCCCUACACUGCUCAUUUCCUGGGGUUUUAACCUGCCUGCAGUGUCCCAGUGGUUUAGGUCUCUGUGAAGCCUCAAAUCUUACACAGUUUGAAAUGGUGUGACCAGCAGCGGUGCUGGAGGUGGAGCCGAGGCAGCUGCACCCACCGUCCCAUGGCAGCUCGUUUGGCAAAAGCUGAAGUGCAAUGAUUAUUCAUUCCCAUCUUUGCCAGCAUUCCCUCCCUUGACUGUUUCAAUCCACAGACCUGAGAAGGAAGCGUGUGGGUCCCUGUUUCUCCAGGUCCCCGAGGGCUGAGGGGAACUCUCCUUCCUGAGCUGCCCUUCCUGCUGGUGCCCAGCGUGUGCCGGCGUCUGCUGUGCCAGGCUGCCGUUGGCACAGUGGGUGCCGGGUGUGCUGCUCCUGCACUGACACCGUUUUGUGUUCUCUCCCUUUAGAUUAGAGUGUGUAACGCUCUCGUUAAUGGCCGCAGGCUGCCUCACCACAAGUGCAAGCGCUGACCUCACUGUCACCAUCGGCAUCGAGCUGGCGGAGCCGCCCUCGCCCCCGCUGCCACGUGCCUCCAGGAGCAGAGUGUCGGGGA